CGACUCCAUCCGCCUAAACGAGUCUGUCCUUCGUUUAACUCCUAUCAGUAAUUAAUAAAACGCCACCAAGUGCUCCUUGCCCGAAGAGAUGUCGCGUGAAAGUAGAAACUCGAUUGAAGAGAAAACAAUAUAUUUUUUGUGAUGUGUUAAUAUCGACUCGAGAGGAAACGAGUGUAUCCUUUAAAACAAUGCGAUUAUCAUCUGCGUAAUUUACAUCGCCGUGAAGUGUUUCUUACGGAAGAAAAUAUUAGUUAAUGAAUGACAAAUGAGAUCAUCGUUGACGUUCUGUUUAUGUAGACUUCAAAUAAUUCUUUUUUAAAAAAAAUAUUUCUCGUAGAAUUUCUUGAACGUUAACGACGUCUUUCGAUUUUUAUUUGCAUGAUCGAAACAAUUAUUAAAAAAAAAUCUGAAUUUGUUUAACGCAAUACAUCCCAAAAAAUACGUACCCUAAUUAUUAUAAAUUGUCGAAUUAACCGUUCCCAUAUAGCACAUUUCUUUCAAAAUAUUCAAUGUUCCUCUCUUCGAGUCUAAAACAACAUUGAAUAUGAUCGUAUAUUAGUUUCUAAUUAUUUACAUCGUUCGUCCUUUUAUUGAAAACAUUAUACACAAGGAAAUGACAUUCGUCAAAUAAAGAAACGAUAAUUCACUGCUUAUACUCUUCCAGGAAAGAGAGAGAGAGUACAAUAUAAACAGAGAGUAUUCCAAGUACAUCCUUUGAGAGAGCCUUUAGAUCUGUUUUUUAUUCUCUUGGCUUAUAUUAUACGACUCAUACCAUUCCUUCUUUUACAAUAGCGAAAGAAGAAAAGAGAAAAAAGAGAAAGAGAGAGAGAAAGAGACAAAAAAACAAGAGAGAGGAAUAAAAAGCACAGAAAACGACAUAUCUUGAACGGUAGUUCAUUAAAGCAGAGGGACGACUCGACUUAACCCCUCGCCGAUGAAACUGAGUCACGUCGUGCAGCCGGCUGGCCGUAUAUGCAAAUCACUCGCGUGGGGUAUUCCCCUUUUCUCUCUCUUCCUAUUUCCCUUUCUCUUCGCUAACAUUGAGUGGAAAAAAAAGAGACUUCGAUGGUGGGGAUGAACGAGAAAGCUCAUUAGUUUUUUUUCUAUCGUGAUAGGGGUAUUCCGUUGGUAAACGGCAGCCAUCGUAACUUCCCUCACAGUUACCACUACUACUGCUACCACUACUCCUUCCACCACCACAAGCAUUGACCACCAAACUGCUCUUGAAUUGUUUAUGCGAGAGCACGCUUUAUGGUACGGUAGGUGGGUUUAUAUCGGUGACCCAGAAACAUAUCGUACUUUUAUACGAAUUAUCGAGUACGACGAUAUAGGUUAUGUUUUUAUUGUUUUUUUUAUUUAUAUAAACAAUUAAAGAAAGAACAAAUUUCAUUGCCUUUCUGCUAUAUUAUGUAUAACUUAUUUUUAAUGUAAUAUAUUUUAACGAUAAUAACAAUUAUGAAGAAUAAAUUAUUCUUUUUUAAAAGUAACACAUUACGAAUAAUAAGUUAAUGCGAUAAUUUAGAUUUCACUCUGACUUCGUCGUUUCCCGAGUCAGUGAUUCGUAAUAACGUAUGCAAGCGCUAACACGCGAGAGAAAUCGUUCGAUAAAUCAAAUCAGAGAGUCAUUGUACAUUCGCGGCCUUCUCAGGUAUAGCACAGGAUUGCCAAAAUUGCGUUGGAGAAAGAGAGAGAGAGAGAUAGAGAAAGGGAAAGAGAAAGAGGGUAGAUGAAAAUGAUUGAGAGGAAAAAGGAGCGAGUCGUGAGAAUGAAAAGCGCAAGGAAGGAUAUUCAAAUUUGGAACCCUCGUUAGUCCUCGAAUUUCUCAAUGUGCAAUAAUUUAUCAUCGGGCCCCGCUGAGGUGAACGAUCGUACAAUACCGGACUACCUGCAUGCAUAAUUUAUCCGGAUUUUCAAGAAAGAAAGAAAGAAAAAAGAAGGAAGGAAGGGCCCAAAAAGAAAAGGGUUGCUUCCGCAGGAACGUAUAUCGAUUCUUUUAUUUUUCCUUUUUUACCCUUCUAGUACGUAAACGGAAUAAAAUGAUAAGUAAAAAAUUAAAUUCACCGAUAUGCGUUUAUUAAAUCACGAGAUGAACUUGCAGACAAAAUUUCUAGCAAGUUGCACCGUAGUCGAAAGAUUCAGUAUUGAACAAGAUCAAAGUAUUUUUUCUAGCUAGAAUAAUCCACAGCAAAAGGGAUAAAAAGUUCAACGAUACAGCCCUGGACCCUUCGCACAGGAUCCUACAUGUCACUGGUGUGUACCUGUGAGACCAGGAAGGAGCCCUCAACCCUUUUCCUUAGAGAAGGAGAGACCUCUUUUUAUGCGUGCAUCAGGAAAAAAGCAAGAAAAAGAGAGAGAGAGAGAGAGAGAGAAGAGGAAAAGGAAACUUCCCUCCCUCUCGGAUGCUAGCAAUCCUACCCCACCGGUUUCAUCCUGCUUUUUCACGAUGAAAAGGCCUCCAAUGGGGGUUGAUUCAAUGGUAUUCUAAUUAUAUGCAAAGACGUACGACUGCGAUGUACCAUCGGUCUCUUAUUUGCGAUAAGAUAUAUGUAUGUAUGAGACGAGAGACUAUCGAUGAACGUAUGAGUUAUCGCCGGUGCCCAAAUUGCUUGCCAAGCGCGGUGAUGUAGAGCUCCAGGCCGAAGAUUUAUUUCUCGAAUGGAAUGGUAAGUUAGUAAAGCUCUAAGCCGCGUAGCGUCAAGCUCAAGGAACCGAAGUCUCGCCUCGUUUCAUGGCUGAAUGUAUCAACGCGAGCAACGUACUCAAGACUCGAUUUUUUCAGUAGACUUCAUCGUGCUCCCACAUUAUUUCCUUCCUUCGACACCGCACAAGCCCAAUUUCACGGGAACCUCCCUCUUACUGAUCGUAAGGCAAAUGAAAGGUUAUAUUAUAUAUGUAGAAUAUAGAACAGAAUAGUAAAAAUGUCUCCGAUUGAUCAAUUAAAUUUGAAUAUUUCAACGACGGUAUAUGGAUUUCAAAAUGAAAAUAACAUAUGAAAUGUUUUUACAUAGAGAUAUCUUAUUGAAAAAGAUAAAAAUAUUAUCUGUAUUUUCGUCACAAAUGGAAGAAACAUUAAGCGAUACAAUUUUUAGCAAUAGUCUGUUCUUUGAUGUCAUUCUUAAAGAAUCCAAGAACGCCAGGAGGAAAUAUCGAUAUUCCGUGGCUGUAUCGGCCAAAAUUUCAAGCAUGGCCGAGCCGUUUGAUGACAAACGCACCCUCGCAGGCAGAGAGUGGAAGCCGAAAUGCGUCCACCCCGCCUAUUCGAGGGGGAUGAAUUCGACCAAUUGAUGGGUUUCGAGUUGGGCCUGGAUCAAUCAACGAACGGCGUCGUUCAAAGCCAGUGGCCAUUCCUACACCACUGACCUCGUUCGUUGCUUUUUCCUUUUUCAAAAGCAAAUUGGAUUUUUAAUCCCAUGCGUAUGCCGACACAGGACAGUACUCUAUCCAAAUUUCGUUUCGUGUCUUUCGAUACGCUUUAAUCUUUGAAACAUCCUACAAAUAUGCAAACUUAUUCGAGUGGACAAAAACAGUCGAAAUUCUGCGUGAAAUUCUUUGUGAUAUUUUCAAAUAAUAAAUAAUACAAUAUAAACCUUUAAUUUGUAAUCAUCAAAGAAAUACAAAUAAAUAAUUAUUUAUACAAAAUUGUUGACCAAUCGUGAUACCUUUUACGAGUUAGAUUACGAUGUCUUCGUUAGGGAAAAAAGAAGAUUACAAUUUGCGGUUUAGCAGCACACAUACACACGAUACCGUUUAUUUAACCCCAUUUCUACCGCAAGUUUGCUUUUGUGUAUCGAAAAUCCGGUUAAACGAGCCGACGAUCGAUUCGAUCGGACAGCCAUAAUAUCGCGGAGAUGCUUCUCAACUCGCGAUACGUGUGGAAAGGCAACGUAACGCAACCCUAUCUCCUCUAGCUCUCGUUUUUCUCGGAGCCGCUUAAAAUGUCUACCUGACGUGUUCCCCCUUUCUUAUCCUCUCUCAUUCUCUCUUUCUCUCUUAGAUGUUCAGAAUAAUAUGUAUAAGAGAAAAGAAACGCGUAGCAUAAUACGAUCCUGCCCUUACUCGUCCUUGCGAGGAUAAUGCGCAGGAUAGGAUACAUUUAUCCUAACCGAGACCCUGUUUCUAUUUUUUAUACCGACCCAUGCGUGAAUUAUUAGCAUAUGGUAUUUGAUAUAUUCGAUAGUUUACCAAGAUAAUACUAUAGUUUGCAUUAUAUUGUACGUUAGAAUGAGCUCGCUGAACCAACAUUUUCCUUUUACAUAUUUUAAUCCCAUUUAUGUUAGGAAAUAACGAAAGACAGUCCUCCUAUGUUCUAGGAAAAACUAAUUCAAAGAAACUAAUUUACCAUAGAGGUCUCAAGCGUAUUCAGGAAAAUCAAUUUGCAAGAUAUUUGGCGAGAUGCUACGAGGUAAAUAAAUUUCACCUAUUAAACUGUA
Molecule: long non-coding RNA, 4430 nt
Filed under: Polistes fuscatus (common paper wasp)
Lineage: Eukaryota; Metazoa; Arthropoda; Insecta; Hymenoptera; Vespidae
Description: uncharacterized LOC122521286
Source: RNAcentral